UUCGAAAAUACCUUGAAAUAGAAGUUGUAGAUAAUUGAAUUAGCUUUCCAUCCAUAGGUCGUGGGUUCCCAGGUGACGUUGGUACAAGGAGAUAUGAACGUUUUAAGGUCGAAAGGUCAGUGGGCUAGGCCCAACUCGGGACCAACCGAGUUGGCCCAAAAAAAUGAAAAAAAAAAUCAGGCCCAAGUGAGGAGCCAUUCGGCCAUGGUCCAUAAAAAGGAUCCAAGCCCAUGGAAUUAAGUCAUGUGGUCAAUGAAUAAAAGACCACUUAAUCAUCCAAAUUCCAUAGAACUUUCAAGAGAAAGAAUAGGAGGAAAAACAAGAGAAAAACAAGAACAAAAAGAGGGCAUUUCGGGUUUGGCCAUAGAAAAAUCACCCCUCAAAAUCUUGCCUCUAAAAUUAUUUUCUUGUUGAAUUCCUACUAAAUUAAGUGCCCUCUACAACUUGGUGUAAUUGUUUUGGAAGAAGGAGCACUUAUUUCUUCAAGUUGACAACUUGUUCAAGUGAAGAAGUUUGUAGAAAAAGUUUUUCGACGAAACGGGAAGUGAGUUUGGAAAGGCUUAAGGAGCGCGAAAGGUACUGACGACAGGUUCGCUGAUCCACACGUUUAGGAUCCUAUUUCUGCUAUUUGGGGCUCUCUCUUCUACAGAGCCCAUCUUUUGGUACAGUCUGUCACUGCUAUCUGGAUAUGUACUUUGUUCAGGGUAUGACGGGGCCCUGUCCCGUCUUAUGAUUAUGAUAUGUUCUGUAGAGGUCUGUGGAUACAUCUGUGUGGGUUCUGUACAUAUGUUUGGGAUAUUCUGUUCUGUGAUGGCCUUAUCGGCCUAUGUGUGCCAAGUCUG
Lycium barbarum (goji berry) is the source of this 842-nucleotide long non-coding RNA. RefSeq lists it as uncharacterized. The record is from RefSeq and is a predicted model, not a curated record. Lineage: Eukaryota; Viridiplantae; Streptophyta; Magnoliopsida; Solanales; Solanaceae. The transcript has 3 exons.